RNAcentral lists this ribosomal RNA (274 nucleotides) under uncultured bacterium. RNAcentral's name for it is "partial 16S ribosomal RNA". It matches the Rfam family "Bacterial small subunit ribosomal RNA", at positions 523 to 796 of the family's 1533-position model. The record is from RNAcentral.
AUACGGGGGGGGCAAGCGUUGUUCGGAUUUACUGGGCGUAAAGGGCGCGUAGGCGGUUCGUUAAGUCGGAUGUGAAAACUCUGGGCUCAACCCAGAGACUGCAUCCGAUACUGGCGGACUAGAGUGCGAGAGGGGAAAGCGGAAUUCCUGGUGUAGCGGUGAAAUGCGUAGAUAUCAGGAGGAACACCGGCGGCGAAGGCGGCUUUCUGGAUCGCAACUGACGCUGAGGCGCGAAAGCUAGGGGAGCAAACAGGAUUAGAAACCCCGGUAGUCC